UGGGGAAUAUUGGACAAUGGGCGCAAGCCUGAUCCAGCAAUGCCGCGUGUGUGAAGAAGGCCUUCGGGUUGUAAAGCACUUUUAUCAGGAGCGAAACGCUGUCGGCUAAUACCCGGCGGAACUGACGGUACCUGAGGAAUAAGCACCGGCUAACUUCGUGCCAGCAGCCGCGGUAAUACGAAGGGUGCAAGCGUUAAUCGGAAUUACUGGGCGUAAAGCGUGCGUAGGCGGUUUCUUAAGUCUGCUGUGAAAUCCCCGGGCUCAACCUGGGAAUGGCAGUGGAUACUGGGAGGCUAGAGUGUGUCAGAGGGUGGUGGAAUUCCCGGUGUAGCGGUGAAAUGCGUAGAGAUCGGGAGGAACAUCAGUGGCGAAGGCGGCCACCUGGGACAACACUGACGCUGAGGCACGAAAGCGUGGGGAGCAAACAGGAUUAGAUACCCUGGUAGUCCACGCCCUAAACGAUGCGAACUGGAUGUUGGUCUCAACUCGGAGAUCAGUGUCGAAGCUAACGCGUU
RNAcentral lists this ribosomal RNA (515 nucleotides) under uncultured bacterium. RNAcentral describes it as "partial 16S ribosomal RNA". It matches the Rfam family "Bacterial small subunit ribosomal RNA", at positions 355 to 861 of the family's 1533-position model. The record is from RNAcentral.